GCGCCCUUAGCUCAGUUGGUAGAGCAUCUGACUUUUAAUCAGGUGGUCGAUGGUUCGAGUCCAUCAGGGCGCACCA
RNAcentral lists this transfer RNA (76 nucleotides) under Thiohalocapsa halophila. RNAcentral describes it as "tRNA-Lys". It matches the Rfam family "tRNA". Rfam says of the family: Transfer RNA (tRNA) molecules are approximately 80 nucleotides in length. RNAcentral also lists the same sequence under 4 other names. The record is from RNAcentral. Lineage: Bacteria; Pseudomonadati; Pseudomonadota; Gammaproteobacteria; Chromatiales; Chromatiaceae.